This 405-nucleotide ribosomal RNA is filed under the name Papilio demolion demolion. Its description in RNAcentral is "partial 16S ribosomal RNA". It matches the Rfam family "Archaeal large subunit ribosomal RNA", at positions 2005 to 2609 of the family's 2987-position model. Lineage: Eukaryota; Metazoa; Arthropoda; Insecta; Lepidoptera; Papilionidae. The record is from RNAcentral.
GGGCUGCAGUAUUUUGACUGUACAAAGGUAGCAUAAUCAUUAGUCUCUUAAUUGGUGACUUGUAUGAAAGAUUGGAUGAGAUAUAUACUGUCUCUGAUUGAUUUAUAAAACUUAAUUUUUUAGUAAAAAAGCUAAAAUAAUUUUAAAAGACGAGAAGACCCUGUAGAGUUUUAUAAUUUAUUUUAUUGUUGUUGUUAUAUAAAUUUCUUAAAUUAAAAUAAAAUAAAUUAUUUUGUUGGGGUGACAAAAAAAUUAAAUUAACUUUUUUUUAAUAUAAAACAUUAAUUUAUGAUUUUAUGAUCCAUUAAUAAUGAUUAAAAGAAAAAAUUACCUUAGGGAUAACAGCGUAAUUUUUUUUUUUAGUUCAAAUAGGAAAAAAAGUUUGCGACCUCGAUGUUGGAUUAA